UAAAUUAUAACCGUCGAUUAGACUAUAACUCUCCAAACCCUAAAGGGGUAAUACGACUACUACCCACCACUCCACCAGCCCACCCAGAGACCAGAGUCCCAGACUGCUCAGCCACUCUUUCCCUCAGCCCCUCGAGGCCUCGAAGGCUUGAGGCUCGAACCGAGCCCUUUCUCUCAGACUCAAUCACUCAAACCCUCUCCAGCUCUCGAUUCGAUUCAAACCCAGAACUCUUCGAUUCGAUUCGAGGCCUCGAAGGCUUGAAGUUCGAUUCGAUAAAAGCUUCAAACCCAGAAAAUCUCGUAUCUAAUCAGAGAUUCAUGGCCUACGGCCGAAGUUCGAUUCGAUUCUAACCUAGAACUCUUCGCCUCUCGACCUCUCCUUUGAAGUUCGAUUCGAUUCAAAGCUUCAAACCCAGAAAUCUCGUAUCAAUUCAUUCGAUUCAUGGCCUACGGCCGUUAAUCACUUAAUCUCAAGUGGAAUCAGUCUCUUUGAAGUGGAAUCUUGAUUUUUUACUUGUAUAUGAACAGGAGGACCGAGGACUAAGAAAGCAAAGUGACUGCACAACUGAAGGUGUUGCUCCAAUCUCAACAAUUCAAGAGGUUUAGGAGCACAGCAUUUGGUUGGUUUGGAGAAAGAGGCUAGGUCAGUUUUUUAUUGCAAAUUUAGAUGAUGAAAAUGUUAUAUGUUAUAUGAUGAAAAUGGUUUGAAGUUUCAAUUGUUAUAAGCUUUCUGAAUUUUUGUUUGUAAGAAUUGUGAACUAAGAAGACAUGUUUAAUGUUUUUGUGAACUGUUUUAUUGUGUUAUUGUUUUCUGUUUUCUGUUUAGGGUAUGGUUUGUUGCUAUGUGGAGUUG
Rosa rugosa (rugosa rose) is the source of this 852-nucleotide long non-coding RNA. RefSeq lists it as uncharacterized. Lineage: Eukaryota; Viridiplantae; Streptophyta; Magnoliopsida; Rosales; Rosaceae. The record is from RefSeq and is a predicted model, not a curated record. The transcript is spliced from 4 exons.